This 478-nucleotide ribosomal RNA is filed under the name uncultured bacterium. RNAcentral describes it as "bacterial SSU rRNA". It matches the Rfam family "Bacterial small subunit ribosomal RNA", at positions 28 to 507 of the family's 1533-position model. The record is from RNAcentral.
GAUGAACGCUGGCGGCGUGCCUAACACAUGCAAGUCGAACGGAGUAUUUCGGAUGAAGUUUUCGGAUGGAUUUGAGAUACUUAGUGGCGGACGGGUGAGUAACGCGUGGGCAACCUGCCCCAUACCGGGGGAUAACAGCCGGAAACGGCUGCUAAAACCGCAUACGAUGCAGAAGUCGCAUGACUACUGCAUGAAAUAUUCAUAGGUAUGGGAUGGGCCCGCGUCUGAUUAGCUAGUUGGUGAGGUAACGGCUCACCAAGGCGACGAUCAGUAGCCGGCUUGAGAGAGUGACCGGCCACAUUGGGACUGAGACACGGCCCAAACUCCUACGGGAGGCAGCAGUGGGGAAUAUUGCACAAUGGGGGAAACCCUGAUGCAGCGACGCCGCGUGAGUGAAGAAGUAUUUCGGUAUGUAAAGCUCUAUCAGCAGGGAAGAAGAAAGACGGUACCUGACUAAGAAGCCCCGGCUAACUACGUG